ACGGGGCAUAGCUUAACUAAAGCAUUUCGUUUACACCGAAAAAAAGUCUGUUAAACUCGGACUGCCGCGA
Molecule: transfer RNA, 70 nt
Filed under: Ischnocnema aff. holti CC-2012
Lineage: Eukaryota; Metazoa; Chordata; Amphibia; Anura; Brachycephalidae
Description: tRNA-Val
Rfam family: tRNA
About the family: Transfer RNA (tRNA) molecules are approximately 80 nucleotides in length. Their secondary structure includes four short double-helical elements and three loops (D, anti-codon, and T loops).
Source: RNAcentral